AGAAAGAAGGGGGGAACCGAAUCAGAAAAUGAGGCGAGCCGCGAGGGAAGAAGGAGGGGGAAGAGGGAGACGGCGCGGUAGGCGUCACUGCCACCAAAGCCGCCGUUGAAUCACCAUGGGGGAGAAGGAGAGAGAAGCAGAACCGUGAAGAGAGAGAUCGAUGGAGACAUUCACGCAGUUCGUCUUCGUCGCUGCCAUGCGUUGCCGCCGCCGCCGCUAGUUUCGCUACCGUUGAGCUUGAAGGAGAAAAGGAGAGCGACGCUGACAGAGAGAUUGACGGAAGCCAGUAGUUGCCGUCGGUCGAGCUCACCGUUGCUGGAUGUGAAUCGGUGUCACAUCCUUGUAGCCAGAGCCAGCAGCGCCACUACUACUACAAUAGAGAUGAAAAACCUAAUUUGCUGAACUUAUUGUUCACUGGUGGUUAAUCACGAGAUCCGCCUGGUGUUUGAAGUGCAUGGGACUAUUGUUGAGGUUGUUCUUUUAAAAGAUAAGAGAACUGGUGGACGACAAGGAACCAUCUCCUGUUGUUGUCAGAUAUGCUGAUUGGGAACGUGAAUGGCUUGGAUGACCACCAGGAAGGGUACAGAGAGAGCCUCUAACAAGUCACCGACGAGGAGAGAAAUAAAAAGCACAAGCACUUUCAACAAAUCUGCUGCUCCUUCAGAUACUUCAGAGGUUGGACCGGCUUGACCGACAGGCAAAGCAAAUGGAGCGCCGUAACAAGCGCCAAUUUACAUACCUCAAGGAGCUGCUUGUUGGUAACCACCCACCUGAGGAAGACCAAAGGACACUCCGGACUCCACCUUACCUACCAGCCCCCCUUUGUUCCUGACUGAUGGCACCGAGGACGGUGCCAAGCUUUAAGUGUGGGGAGGUUGGUCAGUACCUGACUUCCGAAGGUAACUUUUCUCUCUUAACACCAACAUUUUUAGUUUUUCUUUUGUUAUUUAGGAUAGAUUGCAUGUUAAUAAUUGCUUGCAUGUAUGUUUUGCUUAGAUAAAGUAAUGAGUUUCUUUUCAAGACCCUUUUUAUAGUAUUUUAUUAAUUUAAAUUAAAAAAAAAUUUUUUAAACUUGUUGGAAGUUGUAUUUGGAACAUGGGUUAUAGCUAAGAACACACAACCUGUAAGAUUUGAGCUUAAUUACAUGGUUACAUUAUUUAACCAUAAAAAUUUUAUUCUUGUGUGUUUUCUUCUCUAUGAUUGUAAUCUAUAUUUUGUUCCAUCCUAUAUGUCCAAUGUUUAGUGUAUUUAAAUGCAUAUAUAUGAUUGAGGCCAUCAAUUGUUAUUAGCUCACUUAUCCCAAAUAGCCUACCCUUUCAGUCACCUUUGUUAGCCACCUUGAGCCUUUUAAUCCCCGUUUGUUCUAUAUUUUACCACAUUACUAGCCUUAAGUGGAAAAACAAUUAAUUACCCCAAUUGAAUCUUUGGUUAGCUUAAAAUAGAGAUUGUGUGUCAAUUAAGUUUAGGGAACUAUGGAAACUUGGGUGGAUGAAAGUGUACAGUGUUUCAUUGGCAAAAUAUUGGGAAUUUGGGUACCUACUUAUGUGAGACCAGAAAAAUUAAAAAUCCAUGUGCAUUGAUAUGUUAUGUUUACUUUUAUAUUUUUAAAGAAAAAAAAGAAAUAUAUAUAUAUAUAUAUAUAUAUAUAUAUAUAUAUAUCCUCACCUUUACCUUAGCCCCAUUACAACCUUGAAAAGACCUCAUGAUAUUUGUAUUGGUACAUUAAAUAUUGUUGAUUGGUUAGGUGAAGAACAAAGUUUAGAAAGCAUGACUAAGGGAGACUAGAGUGAAUUACCCUAUACAUUUGAGUGAUUAGAGUGUACAUACACCAUCAGUGAGGGUUCAAUGCUUGAUUCUAUGUUCCCUGCUUUUAUGAGCUAUCUUCUAACAAGUUUACUUGUCUUAUACUAUAUGAUUAGAAUUGGUGGAAUUUGAAUUUUUUUCCAUCUUAAAGAACUUAUUUACUUUUAACCAAGUAGACAGAAUCAUCAUAGCGUAUAGUUGCAUUCAUAGGUUGCAUCUCAUGAGCUUUACUUUCCCCAUUCAUUCUUUAUAGCUUAUCUUGAGCUUAGCAUGAAGACAUGCUAAUGUUUAAGUGUGGGGAGAUUGAUAAACCACUAUUCUAUGGUUUAUCUUGUGCUAAUUUGAGUGGUUUUUAUCAACUCUUUACUCACUUAUUCAUAUAAAUUGCAUGGUUUUACAUUUUCCUUCCUAAUUUUGUUCUAUAAUUAAAAACUUGCUUUCCAAGCCUUUAAAUUACCAAAAAAUAAUUCCUUUUUAUACCAUUCGAUGCCGUAAUAUGUGUGUUAAGUGAUUUCAGAGAUUACAGGGCAGGAAUGGCUCAGAGGAUGGAAAGGAAGCAUGCGAAAGUGGAAGGAAUACAAGAAACUGAAGAAAUUGCUAAGCUGUCCAUCCUGACCUCUUCGCACUCAAAUGGUCAUAACUUGAGCUACAGAUGUCUGAAUGAGGCGCUUCUAGUUGCGGUGGAAAGCUAACAUCCGAGGCUUUGAAAUGAUAUAUAGUUUGCCAUAGUUUCCCUGAGGAUAAGUGAAGCACACGCGUGAAUCUGUGCGAAACCAGCGACGUGCACGUGUUUGAAUUCGGACCCAGCGAUUUCUGGGCUGUUUCUGACCCAGUUUUCGCCCCAGAAAACACAGAUUAGAGGCUAUAAAGUGGGAAAAUGCAUCCAUUCAAAAUGCAACAUUCAUUAUUCACAAUUUUAGUUUUUGAUGUAGUUUUUCUAGUGAGAGAGGCUUUCUCCUCUCUCUUAGGAUUUAGGAUUAGGAUUUCUUCGUCUUUUCAAAUUCCAGGUUCAAUGUUCCUUUAAUUUAGUUUUUCUUCUAUUUUCAUUUAUUCUAUUACUUUGAUUUAUGAAUUCACAUGUUAGAUUUGAUUUUAUAUUUAAUAUAAU
Molecule: long non-coding RNA, 2911 nt
Organism: Arachis stenosperma
Lineage: Eukaryota; Viridiplantae; Streptophyta; Magnoliopsida; Fabales; Fabaceae
Exons: 4
Source: RefSeq, a predicted model, not a curated record